Molecule: ribosomal RNA, 473 nt
Filed under: uncultured bacterium
Lineage: Bacteria
Description: bacterial SSU rRNA
Rfam family: Bacterial small subunit ribosomal RNA
Source: RNAcentral
GAUAAACGCUGGCGGCGCAUAUAAGACAUGCAAGUUGAACGGACUUAAUCGAAAUAUUUAUAUUUUGAAGCGGUUAGUGGCGGACUGGUGAGUAACGCGUAAGGAACCUGCCUAUUAGAGGGGAAUAACAGUGAGAAAUCAUUGCUAAUACCGCAUAUGCCAUAGAUAUCACAUGAUAACAGUGGGAAAGGAGCAAUCCGCUAAUAGAUGGCCUUGCGUCUGAUUAGAUAGUUGGUGGGGUAACGGCCUACCAAGUCGACGAUCAGUAGCCGGACUGAGAGGUUGAACGGCCACAUUGGGACUGAGAUACGGCCCAGACUCCUACGGGAGGCAGCAGUCGGGAAUAUUGCGCAAUGGAGGAAACUCUGACGCAGUGACGCCGCGUAUAGGAAGAAGGUUUUCGGAUUGUAAACUAUUGUCGUUAGGGAAGAGAAAGGACAGUACCUAAGGAGGAAGCUCCGGCUAACUACGUG